AAACGGGUGGUAAUGCCGGAUGCUCCAGCUCAUCGCAUGGUGUUCUGGGAAAGCCUUUGCGGCAUGGGAUGGGGUCGCGUCCUAUCAGCUUGAUGGCGGGGUAACGGCCCACCAUGGCUUCGACGGGUAGCCGGCCUGAGAGGGCGACCGGCCACAUUGGGACUGAGAUACGGCCCAGACUCCUACGGGAGGCAGCAGUGGGGAAUAUUGCACAAUGGGCGCAAGCCUGAUGCAGCGACGCCGCGUGAGGGAUGGAGGCCUUCGGGUUGUAAACCUCUUUUGUUAGGGAGCAAGGCAUUUUGUGUUGAGUGUACCUUUCGAAUAAGCACCGGCUAACUACGUGCCAGCAGCCGCGGUAAUACGUAGGGUGCAAGCGUUAUCCGGAAUUAUUGGGCGUAAAGGGCUCGUAGGCGGUUCGUCGCGUCCGGUGUGAAAGUCCAUCGCUUAACGGUGGAUCCGCGCCGGGUACGGGCGGGCUUGAGUGCGGUAGGGGAGACUGGAAUUCCCGGUGUAACGGUGGAAUGUGUAGAUAUCGGG
Molecule: ribosomal RNA, 537 nt
Filed under: Bifidobacterium breve
Lineage: Bacteria; Bacillati; Actinomycetota; Actinomycetes; Bifidobacteriales; Bifidobacteriaceae
Description: bacterial SSU rRNA
Rfam family: Bacterial small subunit ribosomal RNA
Source: RNAcentral